RNAcentral lists this transfer RNA (72 nucleotides) under Bos taurus (domestic cattle). It matches the Rfam family "tRNA". Rfam says of the family: Transfer RNA (tRNA) molecules are approximately 80 nucleotides in length. Their secondary structure includes four short double-helical elements and three loops (D, anti-codon, and T loops). The record is from Rfam by way of RNAcentral. Lineage: Eukaryota; Metazoa; Chordata; Mammalia; Artiodactyla; Bovidae. RNAcentral also lists the same sequence under 2 other names.
UCCCUGGUAGUCCAGUGAUGAGGACUCAAUGCUUUCACUGCCGUGGCCUGGGUUCAAUUCCUGGUUGGGGAA